GACGAACGCUGGCGGCGUGCUUAACACAUGCAAGUCGAACGGAAAGGCCCUGCUUUUGUGGGGGGCUCGAGUGGCGAACGGGUGAGUAAUACGUGAGUAACCUGCCCUUGACUUUGGGAUAACGUCAGGAAACUGGGGCUAAUACCGGAUAGGAGCUCCUGCGGCAUGGUGGGGGUUGGAAAGUUUCGGCGGUUGGGGAUGGACUCGCGGCUUAUCAGCUUGUUGGUGGGGUAGUGGCUUACCAAGGCUUUGACGGGUAGCCGGCCUGCGAGGGUGACCGGCCACAUUGGGACUGAGAUAAGGCCCAGCCUCCUCCGGGAGGCAGCAGUGGGGAAUAUUGCACCAUGGGCGGAAGCCUGAUGCAGCAACGCCGCGUGCGGGAUGACGGCCUUCGGGUUGUAAACCGCUUUCGCCUGUGACGAAGCGUGAGUGACGGUAAUGGGUAAAGAAGCACCGGCUAACUACGUG
Molecule: ribosomal RNA, 468 nt
Filed under: uncultured bacterium
Lineage: Bacteria
Description: partial 16S ribosomal RNA
Rfam family: Bacterial small subunit ribosomal RNA
Source: RNAcentral